RNAcentral lists this non-coding RNA (45 nucleotides) under Echinostoma caproni. The record is from RNAcentral. Lineage: Eukaryota; Metazoa; Platyhelminthes; Trematoda; Plagiorchiida; Echinostomatidae.
GCAUUACUGAAGAGUCCCAAACAGGACGAAACAGCUGUCCAGUGU